GUUUGUGGCUGAAAACUGUACGACACUUUUGAAAGUGAAGACGCAAACACCCUAUCGGGUUCUCAUCAGCAAAGCAGGGGACAUCUCAACGCCAGAAUCAAACACAAGACUCGGGAACCCGCACCUCCAGCAGCUCCAGGGCGUUCUUUGAUUGGUUUUCAAGUCUCCUGCGCGACCCCUGCUGUUCCUUUAUCCUCCCCCUUCGUCUUCGUAUGCGCUAAUUUCUUGGCAAGAGAACGUCUCUGCUAUCUGCCUGCAGUCCCGCACGAAAAAUAAGACCUUGUGUCCAGGAGUGAAAAAUGUUCCAUUAGUUGGGUCAGUUACUGAGUUGCAAAAGUGAGCAGAAAACGUUAGUGUGGGAACUUGACUGCGAUGAAGAAAACACUGAAGCAAAAGGAGUUGACAGUCUAUCCCGGACUGACAGAACAGAUGAACUCAACAUUCUAUCUACUUUCAAGAAUCUGACAUCGACAUGUCGCCUGUUUCAUUCAACCGCGCUAAAAAUGGCGGAGGUGACGAAGCGGAAGUUCAGCGCCUGAUCUCCCUCUGCGCGUCCUCUGCCGGCGAGAGAGGGUACCAAGGGGCGGUAACCUCUUCUGACGAUUAGGCAGGCGUGUCGUGGGGGUCACUUGCAUCUUGUAGCUCGCAGGGUCGACAAUAUGGCGGCGACAGAUGGGUGCUUUAUUGGAUAAUGAUAUCGGCACCGACCGGUGCCCGCCUGUCCGCGCAAGGGGCUGUCCUUAUACGGCUAAUCAGGACCUGGGGAACCCACGGAGCCGGGGCUGUUCUCUGGCACCGCUUCCUCCUUCCGUCACCAGCCUCUUCAUCCCUAAGCGUGAGUUCUUUUUCCUGCCACGAGGCUGACACGCGGCUAAACCUGGCCAAUCCGCUGAGAAAUGACUGGGUGGUUGGUCCGCCCAAUUUUCUUCCCCUCCCUACUCUAAGCCUCCCAUUAGCAACUCUUCGUCAAAGGGCUAAAAGUUCCUGAAAGAAGUUUGUGUACGACUUCGCUUUGUUGUGUCUGAGAGUCUCCGAGUGCGAAAUAAAAGAUGUCAAUUCGUUGUAUUUUUCCUGCAAGGAUUAGCUGGUGGUUGCACUCCUGUUUAUUUUUGUGGGAUUCAGACGACUUCAGUAACUGUAAAAAAGGGAGUGUUUACAAGCGUCAAGUUUUUGUCGGGUCAAAUGUCAACUUAUUAUGUUUUUGUCGUUUUGUACAUACAUUGUCCCGUAGAUUCUACAUUCGCUGGUUUAGUCGCUGGACUUUAGAAUAGUUUUGUGUGAGAGAG
This is a long non-coding RNA of Pomacea canaliculata, 1286 nucleotides long. RefSeq lists it as uncharacterized. The transcript is spliced from 3 exons. The record is from RefSeq and is a predicted model, not a curated record. Lineage: Eukaryota; Metazoa; Mollusca; Gastropoda; Architaenioglossa; Ampullariidae.